CUACGGGAUGCACCAGUGGGGAAUAUUGGGCAAUGGGCGCAAGCCUGACCCAGCAACACCGCGUGAGGGAAGAAUGUCUUCGGAUUGUAAACCUCUGUCCUUGGGGACGAAAAAAAUGACGGUACCCAAGGAGGAAGCUCCGGCUAACUACGUGCCAGCAGCCGCGGUAAUACGUAGGGAGCAAGCGUUGUCCGGAAUUAUUGGGCGUAAAGGGUGCGUAGGCGGCGCUGUAAGUCAGAUGUGAAAUCCCCGGGCUUAACUCGGGAGUUGCAUUUGAAACUACAGUGCUUGAGUAAAGAAGGGGUAAGUGGAAUUCCUAGUGUAGCGGUGGAAUGCGUAGAUAUUAGGAGGAACACCAGUGGCGAAGGCGACUUACUGGUCUUUUACUGACGCUGAGGCACGAAAGCGUGGGGAGCAAACAGGAUUAGAUACCCCCGUAGUC
This 442-nucleotide ribosomal RNA is filed under the name uncultured bacterium. RNAcentral's name for it is "partial 16S ribosomal RNA". It matches the Rfam family "Bacterial small subunit ribosomal RNA", at positions 339 to 795 of the family's 1533-position model. The record is from RNAcentral.